RNAcentral lists this ribosomal RNA (305 nucleotides) under uncultured bacterium. RNAcentral describes it as "bacterial SSU rRNA". It matches the Rfam family "Bacterial small subunit ribosomal RNA", at positions 332 to 653 of the family's 1533-position model. The record is from RNAcentral.
UGGAUCUACGGGGGGCAGCAGUGGGGAAUAUUGCACAAUGGGGGAAACCCUGAUGCAGCGACGCCGCGUGAGCGAAGAAGUAUUUCGGUAUGUAAAGCUCUAUCAGCAGGGAAGAAAAAAAUGACGGUACCUGAGUAAGAAGCACCGGCUAAAUACGUGCCAGCAGCCGCGGUAAUACGUAUGGUGCAAGCGUUAUCCGGAUUUAUUGGGUGUAAAGGGUGCGUAGACGGGAAAUUAAGUUAGUUGUGAAAUCCCUCGGCUUAACUGAGGAACUGCAACUAAAACUGAUUUUCUUGAGUACUGGA